Molecule: long non-coding RNA, 517 nt
Organism: Hyaena hyaena (striped hyena)
Lineage: Eukaryota; Metazoa; Chordata; Mammalia; Carnivora; Hyaenidae
Exons: 3
Source: RefSeq, a predicted model, not a curated record
UGUCCCUUUAGGGCACAGAGUGGCCACUGAAUACUCCAUUCAGCUCUUGCCUCUUGGUCUGAAGUUCGUUUUGUGUUAACUGAGAUCAGAAGAAGGGGUCAAAGGGAAUUUCAGCCUGCCAGAACAAAGUACCACAAAGCUGGACGUCAAAAGGGCAAUACUCUCCAGUGCUGGAGCUCUGGGGUCACAACUUCUGGAAUAAUGCUGCAGACCCCAGACCUCUCGGGAACUACCUCCAGUCACUACAGUUAUCUGGAGAAAAUUCUGGGGGUCACUAGCAGUGGAGGUGGGAGCUCUUGAUUUCUCUAGACCAGCGGGAGCCAGGCAAGAUCAUUAAAUGCAGUGAAGCUGAGAUCCAACCAGAACUGAGAACCUGACGUCCUGCUUUCCUGUGCACGUGUCACCCUGUGUUCCCGGCCCUUCCCAGGGGCGUGGGGGAGGCCAGCGGUACAGAGAAGACAGAAACAACAGCAGACAUCACCACUGAGAGAGUAAAAUAAAAUGUGUUGCACAUACA